Molecule: ribosomal RNA, 253 nt
Filed under: uncultured bacterium
Lineage: Bacteria
Description: partial 16S ribosomal RNA
Rfam family: Bacterial small subunit ribosomal RNA
Source: RNAcentral
UACGGAGGGUGCAAGCGUUGCUCGGAAUUAUUGGGCGUAAAGGGUAGGUAGGUGGUCUCAUUUGUCUGGGGUGAAAGCCUUGAGCUUAACUCGAGAAGUGCCCCAGAAACGGUGAGACUAGAGUCCUGGAGAGGGUCGUGGAAUUCCCGGUGUAGCGGUGAAAUGCGUAGAGAUCGGGAGGAACACCAGAGGCGAAGGCGGCGACCUGGACAGGCACUGACACUCAACUACGAAAGCGUGGGGAGCAAACAGG